RNAcentral lists this ribosomal RNA (482 nucleotides) under uncultured bacterium. RNAcentral's name for it is "bacterial SSU rRNA". It matches the Rfam family "Bacterial small subunit ribosomal RNA", at positions 28 to 507 of the family's 1533-position model. The record is from RNAcentral.
GAUGAACGCUAGCGGCAGGCUUAAUACAUGCAAGUCGAGGGGCAGCGGGUGUAGUAAUACAUGCCGGCGACCGGCGCACGGGUGCGUAACGCGUAUGUAACCUACCUUUAACUGGAGGAUAGCCCCGAGAAAUCGGGAUUAAUACUCCAUAAAAUUAUGAAAAGGCAUCUUUUAUAAUUAAAGCUCCGGCGGUUUUAGAUGGGCAUGCGUGACAUUAGCUAGUUGGUGAGGUAACGGCUCACCAAGGCUCCGAUGUCUAGGGGUUCUGAGAGGAUUAACCCCCACACUGGUACUGAGACACGGACCAGACUCCUACGGGAGGCAGCAGUGAGGAAUAUUGGUCAAUGGACGCAAGUCUGAACCAGCCAUGCCGCGUGCAGGAUGACGGCCCUAUGGGUUGUAAACUGCUUUUCCACGGGAAGAACCCUCCGACGUGUCGGAGACUGACGGUACCGUGGGAAUAAGCAUCGGCUAACUCCGUG